Molecule: ribosomal RNA, 234 nt
Filed under: uncultured bacterium
Lineage: Bacteria
Description: partial 16S ribosomal RNA
Rfam family: Bacterial small subunit ribosomal RNA
Source: RNAcentral
AGUAACCUGCCUUGGAGUGGGAAUAACAGCUGGAAACAGCUGCUAAUACCGCAUAAUGCAGUUGGGUCGCAUGGCUCUGACUGCCAAAGAUUUAUCGCUCUGAGAUGGACUCGCGUCUGAUUAGCUAGUUGGCGGGGUAACGGCCCACCAAGGCGACGAUCAGUAGCCGGACUGAGAGGUUGGCCGGCCACAUUGGGACUGAGACACGGCCCAGACUCCUACGGAAGGCAGCAG